RNAcentral lists this ribosomal RNA (257 nucleotides) under uncultured bacterium. Its description in RNAcentral is "partial 16S ribosomal RNA". It matches the Rfam family "Bacterial small subunit ribosomal RNA", at positions 96 to 354 of the family's 1533-position model. The record is from RNAcentral.
UGGCGGACGGGUGAGUAACGCGUGGGCAACCUGGCCUGUACAGGGGGAUAACACUUAGAAAUAGGUGCUAAUACCGCAUAACGGGGGAAGCCGCAUGGCUUUUCCCUGAAAACUCCGGUGGUACAGGAUGGGCCCGCGUCUGAUUAGCCAGUUGGCAGGGUAACGGCCUACCAAAGCGACGAUCAGUAGCCGGCCUGAGAGGGCGGACGGCCACACUGGGACUGAGACACGGCCCAGACUCCUACGGAAGGCAGCAG